GAUUAUAUACACAGUAUCUUACGUAGGAUAUGGGCAAUUCCCACGAGCACUAUCUUCUGAAUUUCUGCCAUUUUGGGGUUUCCUGGUAUCUGAGCUAAGUAGCAAUCAACC
Molecule: long non-coding RNA, 111 nt
Organism: Octopus sinensis (East Asian common octopus)
Lineage: Eukaryota; Metazoa; Mollusca; Cephalopoda; Octopoda; Octopodidae
Exons: 3
Source: RefSeq, a predicted model, not a curated record